ACCUCAUUGGUGGCUAUGCAGGUGGCUGCCAUGAGAUAGUCAUGUGUUCAGGAGUAACAUCCAGAAUAUUAAUAGGACCUGUUGGUGGCCCAGGAACAUCAAGAACAGUAAGAUGUACUGCUACUGUUUUGCUACCAGCUGCAUUGGAAACUGUGAUUUGAUAUUCCCCAGUGUCUCUCCUUAAGCAGUUCUUAAUGAGAAUAGACACCUUGAUGGCUCCUCUGGCAGUUCUUGAUGACCAUGGAUGAGCUAAUGGCUGUGGUCUCAAUGGUGGCUUCUUGAGGAGCAUGCAGAGAAAUUGUUUUAGCCUCUGAUAAAUAAAACAGCCUGCCAUGAGAAAAUUACAGCAAGGAAAUUACAGACAUCAUCUCCUUUGAAUAGGGAAAAGGUAACAGAUGGUAUUGCCUCUGAAUUUGCUGAUUCAGAAGAUGUCAGACUCAUGUUAUCCUAUAGAAGAUGUAACAACCCAUAUACAUUUAUGAAAAUCAGGAACUACAUUAUUAUAAUGAUGAAAGAAAAGCCCAAGCAAUCAACCAACCUGAAACCUGCAAUGAAGCUGUGCAGCUGUCUUUGCCAACAGGGUUCUGCACCUCAAAACUGUAUACCCCACUGUCACUCGGUGCUACAUUGAUGAUCUUAAGGCCAGAUACUUUGUUGAAGAAGCUUAUUUUGUAUUUGUUGUCACUUGUUAGCUC
RNAcentral lists this non-coding RNA (695 nucleotides) under Pongo abelii (Sumatran orangutan). Lineage: Eukaryota; Metazoa; Chordata; Mammalia; Primates; Hominidae. The record is from RNAcentral.